AGAACGAACGCUGGCGGCGCGUUUAAGCAUGCAAGUCGAGCGGCAAGGGCCUUCGGGCCCCUAGAGCGGCGGACGGGUGAGUAACACGUGGACAAUCUGCCCCCCGGCCCGGGAUAGCCCAGGGAAACCUGGAUUAAUACCGGAUGAGACGGGACCCGCGAUGGCGGGAUCCGGGAAAGGCGCUGCGGCGCCGCCGGGGGAUGAGUCUGCGUCCCAUUAGCUAGACGGCGGGGUAACGGCCCACCGUGGCGACGAUGGGUAGCCGGCCUGAGAGGGUGGACGGCCACAUUGGAACUGAGACACGGUCCAGACUCCUACGGGAGGCAGCAGCUAAGAAUCUUCCGCAAUGGGCGAAAGCCUGACGGAAGCGACGCCGCGUGAACGAAGAAGGCCGUGAGGUUGUAAAGUUCUUUUCGGGAGGGGAACAACCGUGGCAGGGAAUGGCCGCGGGAUGACGUGAAUCCCGGAAUAAGCCCCGGCUAACUACGUGCCAGCCGCGGC
Molecule: ribosomal RNA, 501 nt
Filed under: uncultured bacterium
Lineage: Bacteria
Description: bacterial SSU rRNA
Rfam family: Bacterial small subunit ribosomal RNA
Source: RNAcentral